This 334-nucleotide ribosomal RNA is filed under the name Polaromonas sp. RNAcentral describes it as "partial 23S ribosomal RNA". It matches the Rfam family "Bacterial large subunit ribosomal RNA", at positions 2596 to 2925 of the family's 2925-position model. Lineage: Bacteria; Pseudomonadati; Pseudomonadota; Betaproteobacteria; Burkholderiales; Comamonadaceae. The record is from RNAcentral.
GUACGUGAGCUGGGUUUAAAACGUCGUGAGACAGUUUGGUCCCUAUCUUCCGUGGGCGCUGCAGAUUUGAGGAAGCCUGCUCCUAGUACGAGAGGACCGGAGUGGACGAACCUCUGGUGUACCGGUUGUCACGCCAGUGGCAUUGCCGGGUAGCUAAGUUCGGAAGAGAUAACCGCUGAAAGCAUCUAAGCGGGAAACUCGUUUCAAGAUUAGAUCUGCCGGGGCCUUGAGCCCCCUAAAGAGUCGUUCAAGACCAGGACGUUGAUAGGCAGGGUGUGGAAGCGCAGUAAUGCGUUAAGCUAACCUGUACUAAUUGCUCGUGCGGCUUGACCCU